UUCCCUUCGGGGACAUUGGUGACAGGUGGUGCAUGGUUGUCGUCAGCUCGUGUCGUGAGAUGUUGGGUUAAGUCCCGCAACGAGCGCAACCCUUGUCUUUAGUUGCCAUCAUUAAGUUGGGCACUCUAGAGAGACUGCCAGGGAUAACCUGGAGGAAGGUGGGGAUGACGUCAAAUCAUCAUGCCCCUUAUGCUUAGGGCUACACACGUGCUACAAUGGGUAGUACAGAGGGUUGCCAAGCCGUAAGGUGGAGCUAAUCCCUUAAAGCUACUCUCAGUUCGGAUUGUAGGCUGAAACUCGCCUACAUGAAGCUGGAGUUACUAGUAAUCGCAGAUCAGAAUGCUGCGGUGAAGGCGUUCCCGGGUCUUGUACACCCCGCCCGUCACACCACGGGAGUUGGAGACGCCCGAAGCCGAUUAUCUAACCUGUUGGAAGAAGUCGUCGAAGGUGGAAUCAAUAACUGGGGUGAAGUCGUAACAAGGUAGCCGUAUCGGAAGGUGCGGCUGGAUCACCUCCUUUCUAAGGA
Molecule: ribosomal RNA, 526 nt
Filed under: Clostridioides difficile
Lineage: Bacteria; Bacillati; Bacillota; Clostridia; Peptostreptococcales; Peptostreptococcaceae
Description: bacterial SSU rRNA
Rfam family: Bacterial small subunit ribosomal RNA
Source: RNAcentral